CACCAAAAAAACGUAAGUCAAUAUUUAAUGAGAAAAUAAAUAAGUGUAAGAAUCUCACUUCCCAGUGAUUCAAAGACUGUUGAUUUUACUCACUAUUGCUCUGUUGUGUUGUAACUGACAGACGUGAAGUAACUGGUGGCUAAAUAUCUUUGUCUUCUCUUUUUAGUCUAGGAGAGCCAACAUCCAGGACUUGUUGACGACAGAGACGAUGUGUUUACCCCUGGACCAGAUGAGAAGGAUGGACGACUACAGGAGCAGCAGGAGGGCGGUGGUGGCCUUUCUUUCACUAGGCUAAGGCGGGACUCCUCUGUGUUUGUGGUACUCUUUGAGCAGCUGAGAGUGGCUGUCAAUCAUCUCAGGCAGAACCAGGACCACAGCAGACCACUGAGCCACUCUCAGCCUCAACCCCCCCUGCCUCUCCAGCCCGACCCCGACAACACCACCAGGUCCUGCCCCCACCCGACCAGCACAGAGGACGCUGUUACCAUCUUCUUCUUCUGUGCUGAAGGGUUUGGGAAGCUCCUCACACACACAGGAAGCCCACACCACAGACAGCUGAGAAACUAUUCUAAAGGCAUUGAGUUUAUUACACUGAAUACAGUUUGUAAGGACCAUACUGUUUAUCUUCUGAAUAAAUAUCUUAAAUAAAAAACACAUUUGGUGCAAAUUAUUUGAUUUAAAUUGUUUUAAUAUUUGAUAACAUUCCUGUUGGUUGCAUUUGAGUGUUGGAACAAACAACCUAUUGGUUGUGUGGUUUGGAGGAUUUGUUGGUUUUGUAAGUCUUGAAUUCUUUUUGCUCCACUGAUGAAUGAAGACUCUGAAAACUGAAAAAGUCCUGAAUUCACAAUAAUUAAAUGGGGACCACAUUUAGCCCUCUGGGGUCCAUCCAUUUAUUGAAAAUGCACAUGUUUCAUUUACAGUAAUAACUUUAUUUAUAUAUGAUAUGUAGACAAGCUGAGAAAGCCUGUUGAAAGUGCAAUCAUAGCACUUUUCACAGUGUGCCAUUUAUGUUUCUAGACCAUUUUUAAAAUGUGAAUUUUCUUUCGACAAUGAAAACUAUUACUAUUUUUAAUUAAUAUGCAAAUAGAC
Centropristis striata (black sea bass) is the source of this 1089-nucleotide long non-coding RNA. RefSeq lists it as uncharacterized. NCBI's taxonomy places the organism in Eukaryota, Metazoa, Chordata, Actinopteri, Perciformes, Serranidae. The transcript has 2 exons. The record is from RefSeq and is a predicted model, not a curated record.